ACUAUUUAUUGUUUCUAAGCAAUAUUUUGUUGGUUGUAGCUUCUUUUGGGAGUAAAUGGGUAUAAGUGUUGUCUAAACACUUGUAAUCCAUCUCCAAAUCUAUAAUUAGUCAAAUGCAUUGGAUUAUAAAACAUUUUGACCAUCGACACACUAACAAAGCUAUUUAGUGCUUUUAAGCAAAUGUUUGUUGGUUUUAGCCUCUUUUGGGAGAAAAUGAGUAUAAUUGUUGUCUAAACACCCCUAAUCCAUCUCUAACUCUCUAAUUAGUCCAAUGCAUUGGAUUGUGAAACAUUUCGACUAUAGAAACACUAACAAAUCUAUUGACUGCUUUUAAGCAAAUUUUUCUGGUUUUAUCCUCUUUUCGCCGAAAAUGGGUAUAAGUGUUAUCUAAACACUCCUAAUCCAUCUCUAACUCUUAUAAUUAGUCGAAUGCAUUGGAUUGUGAUACAUUUUGACCAUAUAAACACUAACAAAGCUAUUUAGUGCUUCUAAGCAAUAUUUUGUUGGUUAUAGCUUCUUUAGGGAGAAAAUGGGUAUAAUUGUUGUCUAAACACUCCUAAUCCAUCUCUAACUCUAUAAUUAGUCCAAUGCAUUGGAUUGUGAAACAUUUUGACUAUAGAAACACUAACAAUUCUAUUGAGUGCUUUUAAGCA
This 653-nucleotide small RNA is filed under the name Arabidopsis thaliana (thale cress). RNAcentral describes it as "ATSL036660". The record is from RNAcentral. Lineage: Eukaryota; Viridiplantae; Streptophyta; Magnoliopsida; Brassicales; Brassicaceae.